Molecule: long non-coding RNA, 1410 nt
Filed under: Homo sapiens (human)
Lineage: Eukaryota; Metazoa; Chordata; Mammalia; Primates; Hominidae
Description: HSALNT0077448
Source: RNAcentral
CCACAGAACUAGUGGAAUAGCUAGAUCUAUAUAAAGGGGAGUUUAUUAAGUAUUAACUCACAUGGUCACAACGUCCCACAAUAGGCCGUCUGCAGGCGGAGGAGCAAGGAGAGCCAGUCUGAGUUCCAAAACUAAAGAACUUAGAGCGCGAUGUUCAAGAGCAGGAAGCAUCCAGCAAGGGAGAAAGAUGUAGGCUGGGAGGCUAGGCCAGUCUCUCUUUUCACAUUUUCCACCUGCUUAUAUUCUAGUCAUGCUGGCAGCUGAUUUGAUUGUGCCCACCCAGAUUAAGUGUGGGUCUGCCUUUCCCAGCCCACUGACUCAAAUGUUUAUCUCCUUUGGCAACACCCUCAAAGACACACCCAGGAUCAAUAUCCUUCAAUCCAAUCAAGUUGACACUCAAUAUUAACAUCACACUGAAAAACUCAAGUGCAACAAAUACAGCAAUAAAGAAGAGGACUAUUUUGCCCAAUUUACCAUACAGUUUGUUCAACACAUUUGCUAUUUAUUCUGAUGGUGUUCCUUCAAAUUAGGUUAAUUGGCCUACCACGCCCUUAUGUUUUCUUUUCAGAAAGCUGUAUUUCUGUCAGCAUCCCAUCUUCAUUCCCAAAACUGUGCAGAAGUAUGAAAGGUUUGAGAUGUUACCUAAGUUGACAUCUAACAAGCUCUGUGGAUACUACUAUAAGGUAGACGAUUUCUGUGUCAGUGUACAGCAAGCAACAUGAACAUGCACAAAUUUGCAUCAGUUUCCUUUACCCCUCCAUCCCAUGGGAUGGUGCAGAAUAGACUAGAUGGAUGCUAGCACAUGCAGUGUGGUUGAAAUUAAACAAAAGGAACCUUGAGUUAAAAGAAUCUGCAUUUUUAUAAUGGGAAGAAAGCAUGCCUAUCUUUUGCUCUAGAAGGAGACGUUGUUCAAACUUGUUCCUUUUAUAAAUAUCUUUGGAAAGAUAAUCUACAACAAAGUGCCCUUAGUACCUCUUAUCACAAGAUAUGCAGAAAUGACAGGGCCCUGUGAAAAAAUGUUUUCCAAUUUUGGUGCUUGGGUCUCUGAUGCUUCUGGUCUCCUAAUUAUGAGAUUCAUUCUUGCCAUUUCAUCAUAUCAAUGCAAUUUUGAUGUAUCCUUAUUUUUUUGUUCCGCUCCUUUAAUUACACAAAUUAAGUCUUCACAAUCAGCACAUUCAUAUAAACAGUACGGUAUGACUUGACAGUGAAUUAUUCUUCUCAGGAGACUACAUUCAAACAAGUUGACCUAGAAAGAAAAUGCUUAAGUGAAUAUAACCGAAUGUGUUAUAGUAUCUCUUUAAGCUCUGUUAUUAUAAAGUCCCCUAUUGUGUUUCUUCAUCUAUUUUUAAGUUUUCCUUGAUAUCCAAAUCUUUUGUAAAUCUGUCUACUUCAUUGGCAUGUCAGUUAUGC